AGGAGCGUAGCUCAGUCUGGCCAGAGCGCCGGUCUCCAAAACCGGUGGUCGGGGGUUCGAAUCCUCCCGCUCCUGCCA
This 78-nucleotide transfer RNA is filed under the name Dehalococcoidia bacterium. RNAcentral's name for it is "tRNA-Trp". It matches the Rfam family "tRNA". From Rfam's summary of the family: Transfer RNA (tRNA) molecules are approximately 80 nucleotides in length. The record is from RNAcentral. Lineage: Bacteria; Bacillati; Chloroflexota; Dehalococcoidia.